Long non-coding RNA from Calidris pugnax (ruff), 673 nucleotides. RefSeq lists it as uncharacterized. The transcript is spliced from 5 exons. Lineage: Eukaryota; Metazoa; Chordata; Aves; Charadriiformes; Scolopacidae. The record is from RefSeq and is a predicted model, not a curated record.
GGGCGCUGUGGUGGCCCCGUCCCGGUUUGGCCGGUCGCCCGCCGCCGAUGCUCGCCCCCGUGGAGGAGGAACGCGACAGCGGAUUGCCGAAGGAGCUUCGUUGUGAGGGCACCUGAGGGAUCCCAUGGAGCAAUUCACUUUGCUGAGUUAGCAGACGAGGCCGUUGGACAGAGUCAAAAAAAAAAGAUGCUGCCAACUGUGAAGCAAAUGAAUCGAUACCAGUGGGACUGGAUCGGCUUGCUGCUUCCGAUACACCGAGAAAAGCAACAGCACGGGUGCAAGAUCUGACACACAGGGUCAGCGUUCACAGUAACGGGAUUUGAUCUGCCAGCUGAAGGCCAGGAGAUAACCCUACGGAACAGCCUGCCUGCCUCAAGAGCAAUUCUGUAGCAUCAGGUCAGAGAUAUAUACCACAUCCUAUGCAGUGAGAAAGAGAGAGGAAGAAAGAGAGAGAGAGAGAGACUACUUCUGGCGCUGGAAAGAGCUCUUUGCCUGGCUUGCUCCAGUAUCCGGGCCUUCUCCUCGUCAAGCGUCAUGCCGUAGCGGACGUGAAGCGCCAAAGCGCCGUAUUGCAUUUCAACGUCGGCAAACCUACGAGUCCUGCCGUUCACCACCGUGGUGGACUGGGAAACCGUGACGUUGAUGCCAUUCUCCAGGGCCUUCCUCCCGCUCG